UACGUAGGCAGCAAGCGUUGUUCGGAGUUACUGGGCGUAAAGAGUAUGUAGGCGGUUGCGUAAGUUCGGUGUGAAAUCUCCCGGCUUAACUGGGAGGGUGCGCCGAAAACUGCGUGGCUUGAGUGCGGGAGAGGAGAGCGGAAUUCCUGGUGUAGCGGUGAAAUGCGUAGAUAUCAGGAGGAACACCGGCGGUGUAGACGGCUCUCUGGACCGUAACUGACGCUGAGAUACGAAAGCGUGGGUAGCAAACAGG
This 253-nucleotide ribosomal RNA is filed under the name uncultured bacterium. RNAcentral describes it as "partial 16S ribosomal RNA". It matches the Rfam family "Bacterial small subunit ribosomal RNA", at positions 524 to 776 of the family's 1533-position model. The record is from RNAcentral.